GCUAAAGGCAUUGUAUUACUGAAGUGCUAGCUUUGAUAGGGCUGAAAAAAAACUCUAGUAUAGAGUAGCUUUUGGUCUAAGGAGCUGGACCCUGCAUUCUGCCCAGGCCCUGCCUUGACACUGAGUUCCAGAAGCCAGGUCCUUGCUUUGCUCCCUCACUUCUGCUUCCUACUUCAGACUCACUCUGGAGCCCCAGGUCUGCUUGGAGCACAACAUUCUGCCAUAGAAUGGAAGCGUCUGUGACCGAGGGAAGCCUCCCUAAGAACUAUGAGAACCAGCCUGUCACUCUUAGAUGUCUCUGGCUUUACCAUCAAGCAAUUAUAUUCACUAUGGAGGAGCCAGUGUUCAAUUCUGACAGAACUGCCAAUAUGGAACAGAGCAGCUUUGAGUGUGAGUAUAACAUGGGGGCCUGGGGUAUGUAAUGCUCAGACUUGAUCAGAAGAG
This 444-nucleotide long non-coding RNA is filed under the name Bos indicus x Bos taurus (hybrid cattle). RNAcentral's name for it is "lncRNA (ENSBIXG00000011883.1)". The record is from RNAcentral. Lineage: Eukaryota; Metazoa; Chordata; Mammalia; Artiodactyla; Bovidae.